UUUACCGGGGAUGCUAGCGUUAUCCCGAAUUAUUGCCUUUAAAGGGUGCGUAGGCGGAAAUUUAAGUCAGUGGUGAAAGCCUGCAGCUUAACUGUAGAAUUGCCAUUGAUACUGGAUUUCUUGAAUCUAAUAGAAGUAGGCGGAAUAUGACAUGUAGCGGUGAAAUGCUUAGAUAUGUCAUAGAACACCGAUAGCGAAGGCAGCUUACUAUGUUAGUAUUGACGCUAAUGCACGAAAGCGUGGGGAGCGAACAGGAUUAGAUACCCUGGUAGUCCACGCCGUAAACGAUGAUUACUCGCUAUUGGCGAUACACUGUCAGUGGCUAAGCGAAAGUGAUAAGUAAUCCACCUGGGGAGUACGAUCGCAAGGUUGAAACUCAAAGGAAUUGACGGA
Molecule: ribosomal RNA, 393 nt
Filed under: uncultured Flavobacteriia bacterium
Lineage: Bacteria; Pseudomonadati; Bacteroidota; Flavobacteriia
Description: bacterial SSU rRNA
Rfam family: Bacterial small subunit ribosomal RNA
Source: RNAcentral